This 29-nucleotide non-coding RNA is filed under the name Mus musculus (house mouse). The record is from RNAcentral. Lineage: Eukaryota; Metazoa; Chordata; Mammalia; Rodentia; Muridae.
UGAGAAAAAAAAUGAAUUCCUCUUGCCUA